GACGAACGCUGGCGGCGUGCUUAACACAUGCAAGUCGAACGGAAAGGCCCUGCUUUUGUGGGGUGCUCGAGUGGCGAACGGGUGAGUAACACGUGAGUAACCUGCCCUUGACUUUGGGAUAACUUCAGGAAACUGGGGCUAAUACCGGAUAGGAGCUCCUGCUGCAUGGUGGGGGUUGGAAAGUUUCGGCGGUUGGGGAUGGACUCGCGGCUUAUCAGCUUGUUGGUGGGGUAGUGGCUUACCAAGGCUUUGACGGGUAGCCGGCCUGAGAGGGUGACCGGCAACAUUGGGACUGAGAUACGGCCCAGACUCAUACGGGAGGCAGCAGUGGGGAAGAUUGCAAAAUGGGCGGAAGCCUGAUGCAGCAACGCCGCGUGCGGGAUGACGGCCUUCGGGUUGUAAACCGCUUUCGCCUGUGACGAAGCGUGAGUGACGGUAAUGGGUAAAGAAGCACCGGCUAACUACGUG
This 468-nucleotide ribosomal RNA is filed under the name uncultured bacterium. RNAcentral's name for it is "partial 16S ribosomal RNA". It matches the Rfam family "Bacterial small subunit ribosomal RNA", at positions 28 to 507 of the family's 1533-position model. The record is from RNAcentral.